This 640-nucleotide ribosomal RNA is filed under the name Bacillus sp. EGU726. RNAcentral describes it as "bacterial SSU rRNA". It matches the Rfam family "Bacterial small subunit ribosomal RNA", at positions 60 to 681 of the family's 1533-position model. The record is from RNAcentral. Lineage: Bacteria; Bacillati; Bacillota; Bacilli; Caryophanales; Bacillaceae.
UGUCGAGCGGACAGAUGGGAGCUUGCUCCCUGAUGUUAGCGGCGGACGGGUGAGUAACACGUGGGUAACCUGCCUGUAAGACUGGGAUAACUCCGGGAAACCGGGGCUAAUACCGGAUGGUUGUUUGAACCGCAUGGUUCAAACAUAAAAGGUGGCUUCGGCUACCACUUACAGAUGGACCCGCGGCGCAUUAGCUAGUUGGUGAGGUAACGGCUCACCAAGGCAACGAUGCGUAGCCGACCUGAGAGGGUGAUCGGCCACACUGGGACUGAGACACGGCCCAGACUCCUACGGGAGGCAGCAGUAGGGAAUCUUCCGCAAUGGACGAAAGUCUGACGGAGCAACGCCGCGUGAGUGAUGAAGGUUUUCGGAUCGUAAAGCUCUGUUGUUAGGGAAGAACAAGUACCGUUCGAAUAGGGCGGUACCUUGACGGUACCUAACCAGAAAGCCACGGCUAACUACGUGCCAGCAGCCGCGGUAAUACGUAGGUGGCAAGCGUUGUCCGGAAUUAUUGGGCGUAAAGGGCUCGCAGGCGGUUUCUUAAGUCUGAUGUGAAAGCCCCCGGCUCAACCGGGGAGGGUCAUUGGAAACUGGGGGACUUGAGUGCAGAAGAGAGAGAGUGGAAUUCCCCGUGUACUGU